Medicago truncatula (barrel medic) is the source of this 260-nucleotide microRNA precursor. It matches the Rfam family "MIR2655 microRNA precursor family". The record is from Rfam. NCBI's taxonomy places the organism in Eukaryota, Viridiplantae, Streptophyta, Magnoliopsida, Fabales, Fabaceae.
CUCUUAACUUGAUUUCAAAUAUCCCUUAACUUUAUUUAAAGUAUCAGUUUGGUCCUUUCAGUUAAUUUAAUUCAAAAAAAUGUUAAGUUUAAGGACCAAACUAAUACUAAUUAAAUAAGAUAAGAGACCAAACUAAUACUAAUUAAAUAAGUUAAUGGACCAAAAUUUAACUUUUUUUUGAAUUAAAUUAACAGAAAAGACCAAAGUGAUACUUUAAAUAAAAUUAAGGGACUUAAUCGGACUUUUUAUUACUUAUGGAA